RNAcentral lists this transfer RNA (76 nucleotides) under Clostridiaceae bacterium. RNAcentral's name for it is "tRNA-Ala". It matches the Rfam family "tRNA". From Rfam's summary of the family: Transfer RNA (tRNA) molecules are approximately 80 nucleotides in length. The record is from RNAcentral. Lineage: Bacteria; Bacillati; Bacillota; Clostridia; Eubacteriales; Clostridiaceae.
GGGCUUGUAGCUCAUCUGGGAGAGCGCUGCGUUCGCAACGCAGAGGUAGAGGGUUCGAGCCCCUUCAAGUCCACCA